UUCUCCAGCGGCCCGGGCGCGAAGGGCGGUCGGCGCCGCAGCGGCUCCGAUGCCCGCCCGGAAGGGAGCGCUCUGGCCCCGGCCUCGCAGCUGCGGGACAGCCGGGAGCGGAGCAGAGGGCAGCCGCGGCCAGUUGUCUCCCCAGCGGACUGGGAAGGGAACUUUAUCUCGGCCUGGACUCCCGCUGUACCUUUGUUGGGGGUUAGUGGUGAGGCUGCGGUCGUCCGAGCUCCUGGGUGUCGCGGGCGCCGCGAUCCCCUCUUCCCGUAGAAGGGCCCAGGGCGCUGCUCGAGGCGCGGGAACCCCUGGCCAGAGGCGGGCACUGGCGCAGCCCCGCGGCUGCUGCUGGCCAAGCCGACUGCAGGGAUGAGAAAUUCCUUGUAAGAGUGGCUGGAAGGCUCCGCGGAGAGGGAAGAAACUCUUCCCAGAGCGAGCUCCCACUGCUCCUUGGGAAUGGUGCACUUUCCAGUUCCAGUUGGACCCUCUGGGAUUGUCACAGGAAGCGCUGCCAUGUAUGAGGAGCCCUCUGCAAACUACAGAAGGAUGGAUGCUCUUAGCUUAUAAAUAAGAUUUUGACGCCCUGGUUGGUUUGAUGACUUGUGUCAUGAGGAGUAGGGGUGUGCGCUGAUUCCAAAUUCUUCCACGCGGCAUCCUGCUCCGGAGCCUCCCUUGUCUCCUAGAGAAAGGGACAGGGAAUCGAAGGAUGGGGAGUCUGAGGGAGAGGCCCCUAUUCCGCACGCUGUCUCCUGGCUGGCUCCUGAAGGGCUGGCUGCUUCCCCCACCUGGAAGUCCAGGCCCCUGUUCGGAAGUCCUCUCCGCACAGCCUGACAGUCCCUUGGUUCUCUUAUGAUUGCUCUCCUCCCGCUUCAGGCCUAGGAUGGCAAGGACAGCUCCCACUUACCAGAGCCAAGGCACUACGCCGUUCCUGGGUGUCCUCUUCUCCUCCAGCUCCUUUGUAAGUCCCAUGCUCCUCUAUUUACCUAGUGGAGGGUGUCAUGCCAGGACCCUGGCAUAUGAUACACCAGAGCUGCAUUGCUUUUCCGAAUCUGCUCAAGCUGUACAACAUUUCUGAGCCUCAGUACCACCAGCCAUCUGUGGUCCUCCAUUUGUCCUCUUCUCCUACAAAUACCUCCAGCCCCUCUCUUCCUUCAUGAUGCUUCUAGCAUUGGAAAUCCUCCAGGACAAUUCUGCCUUCAAGUUUCCUAGCCUGAGCCACUGAGUUGAUGGAGGAAAAUGUGAUAGAGAUGACUCGUCCUCCUUUAAUUUUCCCACUUCUAUAAGCAUAUAAACGUGCCCUGCAACUCUCCUAAGUGUCCCCAGAAGACCCGCUUUCCCAGUCUCUGAGACAAACAUUUCUUAGCCUUCUCUCCUGCAAGAGAUAACAUUUCUCAAAGUUUCUUUGAGCAUGUAGAUGCUGACAGGGGAUGAUCUAUCCCUUCCACCACCAAACCUCCACACCAGUUGGCACUCCACCCUUGUUAUAGUGGAGGAAGCUGCAGGCUAGUUCCAGCACAGUGAACCCCAGUAGUGUUUCGCUUCUCAGCCUUUGCCAUCUCCUCAUCCCUGAGCCAUCUCCCUGUGGCAGACACUGAUGGGCCACCAGCACUGCAUCAGUGAAGGACUUGCUGCCCCAGCUGCUGGCGUGCUGUCAGCACAGCCUCCUGCAGUCCGCCUCUCCACGAUUGCGGAAAGCAUCUAGGCUGAAGGGUGCAGGUGCUGUAUGCAUUGGUUUAUAUGCUUCCUGUACAUUUCCUCAGGAACCCAACCUGCACCCGUCCUUCUCUAAAGUAUGGUUACCAUCAGCAUCCAGACAUACUCCUUUUUUUUUUUUUUUUUUUUUUUUUGCUUCUCUUCAUAGCAAAAUAUAUGAACAGUUUUUACCUUU
Molecule: long non-coding RNA, 1885 nt
Organism: Homo sapiens (human)
Lineage: Eukaryota; Metazoa; Chordata; Mammalia; Primates; Hominidae
Source: Ensembl